Molecule: long non-coding RNA, 586 nt
Organism: Athalia rosae (coleseed sawfly)
Lineage: Eukaryota; Metazoa; Arthropoda; Insecta; Hymenoptera; Athaliidae
Exons: 2
Source: RefSeq, a predicted model, not a curated record
AAGAGAUUAUAAAAUAUUUUGUAUAAUUAACAUUGUUUAAAUUUGAAGAAAUAUUAUUUUAACGCAAUGGUGUCUACUUAAUAUUUGAAAACGGAGAGCGUUUAUUUCCCUGAUAUUAUUCACAUGGAAUUCGGUUACUACAUUCCUAUCGAAUGAUUAAAUUUGUUAAGAAACUAUAUUAUAAAUAGUUGUAUUCAGGAACUACCAAGAAUUGUACUAUCCUGCUGCUAAGCUGAAUUACGUCUCUCGAUGCUUUUCAUAAUAUACGAGGAACGAACGAGGGGAAAAAGAUACGAAAGAAAACCAUCGAGGCCUGAUAAUUUAUCUCUGAAGUUGCUGUGAAGUACACAGACGACUUAUUUGUAUUACUAUAUCAAGAACGAAGAGAUAAAUGCACACAGUUUUUUUUUUUUCAAAAUUGAAACUGUGAUUUCUAAUAAGUAAAGAAAAUACAUGAGGUUAAUCCAGCUCAAAUGGUGGGCGAACGAAGGUUUAAAGUUUCAUGUGUCCCAUAUGCUGUAACGAUGACGCGACAUUGUAGCGUGAUGUCACUCUGGUAAAAUAAAUUGCUUGCGUAAUUUCAUGA